CCUACGGGGGGCAGCAGUAGGGAAUCUUUCACAAUGGGCGAAAGCCUGAUGGAGCAACGCCGCGUGCAGGAUGAAGGCCUUCGGGUUGUAAACUGCUUUUAUAAGCGAGAAAUAUGAUGGUAACUUAUGAAUAAGGAUCGGCUAACUAUGUGCCAGCAGCCGCGGUCAUACGUAGGAUCCGAGCAUUAUCCGGAGUGACUGGGUGUAAAGAGUUGCGUAGGUGGCAUAAUAAGUAGCUAGUGAAAUCUGGUGGCUCAACCAUUCAGACUAUUAGCUAAACUGUUAAGCUCGAGACCGUUAGGGGUAACUGGAAUUUCUAGUGUAGGAGUGAAAUCCGUAGAUAUUAGAAGGAACACCAAUAGCGUAGGCAGGUUGCUGGGACGGUUCUGACACUAAGGCACGAAAGCGUAGGGAGCAAACGGGAUUAGAUACCCCAGUAGUC
This 442-nucleotide ribosomal RNA is filed under the name uncultured bacterium. RNAcentral describes it as "partial 16S ribosomal RNA". It matches the Rfam family "Bacterial small subunit ribosomal RNA", at positions 338 to 795 of the family's 1533-position model. The record is from RNAcentral.